UCAAUGUAUUGUUGUAAGUCGCUCUGGAUAAGAGCGUCUGCUAAAUGACGUAAA
Molecule: non-coding RNA, 54 nt
Organism: Salmo salar (Atlantic salmon)
Lineage: Eukaryota; Metazoa; Chordata; Actinopteri; Salmoniformes; Salmonidae
Source: Rfam